Molecule: unclassified non-coding RNA, 165 nt
Filed under: soil metagenome
Description: partial internal transcribed spacer 1
Source: RNAcentral
AAGAGACGUUGCCCUUCGGGGUAUACCUCCCACCCUUUGUUUAUUAUACCUUUGUUGCUUUGGCGGGCCCGUCCUCGGACCACCGGCUUCUGCUGGUCAGUGCCCGCCAGAGGACCCUAAACUCUGUUUUUAUAAUGUUUUCUGAGUAACUAAGAUAAUAAAUUA